AUUGAAUAUAAAAAAACAGGUGCCGGUUAUGAUUUUGAUGGACAAAAUUAUAAACCGGUGAAAAGGGAAGUGGGUAGAAAUCCCACGCGGUCCCGCCGCUGUGAAAGAAGAGUCCUUGCUAAAUGCCACUGGGAAACCGGGAAGGCUGCAAGGGUGAUGAUGCUUAAGCCAGAAGACCUGCCUGUUUUAUUCACCAUUU
RNAcentral lists this non-coding RNA (199 nucleotides) under Oxobacter pfennigii. Lineage: Bacteria; Bacillati; Bacillota; Clostridia; Eubacteriales; Clostridiaceae. The record is from RNAcentral.